GUCCAGGGUAGCCUAGUGGACAUGGCAUCUGCCCGGUAAGCGGAACAUUGUGGGUUCCAUUCCCAACCCUGGACA
This 75-nucleotide transfer RNA is filed under the name Cordylochernes scorpioides. RNAcentral's name for it is "tRNA-Thr". It matches the Rfam family "tRNA". From Rfam's summary of the family: Transfer RNA (tRNA) molecules are approximately 80 nucleotides in length. Their secondary structure includes four short double-helical elements and three loops (D, anti-codon, and T loops). The record is from RNAcentral. Lineage: Eukaryota; Metazoa; Arthropoda; Arachnida; Pseudoscorpiones; Chernetidae.